GUGGAUGUUGAGCCAGUUGACACCAAGUUCCAACUAGCAGACGUCCUGACGAAGGCACUAGGGCAAGACUGUCGCAGAACCUCCCAAGUUAUCGGGCCCACAUGCACCUGUCCUUGUCUCAAAGACCUCAGACGGCUAUGCAUGUGCACCAAACAACUUAACAGGAUCUGUCCGAGUGCCCCGAGGACCCCGGAUAAACGACUUACCGCCAAGAUCGCAGGAUUAAGUAAACACAAAUCACACACCAACAUUUGCAGCGGAAAUAAAUUCUUUAUUGCAAAAUGAUUACAUGUUACAAUAAUUUUACAUUAUACAAUUAUCGGAGUGAUUACAAAAGAAAAUGAUUAAAAAGAAUUACAAUUUAAAAUGUAUAAAAUAUUUAUAAGUUUUAAAAUACAUGCUAGCUUAAGUGACAAUCCUCAAUAGAGAAACUAAAGACGGGAUAUACUUAUAGAAGAAGGCCGAGCCCACCGGCACUUAGCAGCAUCCACAACAGAAUAAAAUUAUAACCUGAAA
RNAcentral lists this long non-coding RNA (516 nucleotides) under Zea mays. Its description in RNAcentral is "drought responsive lncRNA". The record is from RNAcentral. Lineage: Eukaryota; Viridiplantae; Streptophyta; Magnoliopsida; Poales; Poaceae.